This 405-nucleotide ribosomal RNA is filed under the name uncultured bacterium. RNAcentral's name for it is "bacterial SSU rRNA". It matches the Rfam family "Bacterial small subunit ribosomal RNA", at positions 355 to 774 of the family's 1533-position model. The record is from RNAcentral.
UGAGGAAUAUUGCGCAAUGGAGGAAACUCUGACGCAGCGACGCCGCGUGGGCGAAGAAGGUCUUCGGAUCGUAAAGCCCUUUUCUAUGUGACGAGACAAGGACGGUAGCAUAGGAAUAAGUCUCGGCUAACUACGUGCCAGCAGCCGCGGUAAAACGUAGGAGGCGAGCGUUAUCCGGAGUUACUGGGCGUAAAGCGCGUGUAGGCGGCUGUGCAGGUCGGAUGUGAAAGCUCCCAGGCUAAACCGGGAGAGGUCAUUCGAAACCGCAUAGCUAGAGGGCAUCAGAGGAGUGUGGAAUUCCGGGUGUAGUGGUGAAAUGCGCAGAUAUCCGGAGGAACACCAGUGGCGAAGGCGACACUCUGGGGUGCCACUGACGCUGAGACGCGAAAGCAUGGGUAGCGAACG